GCCGCAGUGUAGCAUAGUGGUAAGGAGCAGGGCUCGUAACCAAAAGUUUGCUGGUUCGAUUCCUUCCUAGGGCA
Non-coding RNA from Megalops atlanticus (tarpon), 74 nucleotides. The record is from the annotation of a GenBank genome assembly. Lineage: Eukaryota; Metazoa; Chordata; Actinopteri; Elopiformes; Megalopidae.